RNAcentral lists this ribosomal RNA (898 nucleotides) under Alveopora sp. ALV. RNAcentral's name for it is "partial 12S small subunit ribosomal RNA". It matches the Rfam family "Bacterial small subunit ribosomal RNA", at positions 314 to 1493 of the family's 1533-position model. Lineage: Eukaryota; Metazoa; Cnidaria; Anthozoa; Scleractinia; Poritidae. The record is from RNAcentral.
UUUCACUGAAACAAGGGGAAAGCUCAAAUGGGGCAUUGGCCCCGAGGCAGCAGUAAAGAAUUUUGUGCAAUAUACGAAGGUAAGACACAGAGAGGGCCCCUUGCCUAGUCCGUCAAAUUAAGUGCCAGCAGACGCGGUGAAACUUAAGGGCUAGUUUUGUGGGCAAAAGCGUAAAGGGUGUGAUAGGCUGUUUUAAUUAAAAAGGGGCUUAUAAUGUUAGAAGGUAAAUGGAAUUUUUUUGUAACGGUGGAAUGUGCAAAUAGAAAAAAGAACUUUAGAUGUGAAGACUAUUUAUUUUUGAGAUUAUAUUGUGAUGGCUAAAACACGAGAGUAUGGGGAGCAAACAGGAUUAGGGACCCUGGUAGUCUAUAUUGUAAAUCAUGAAAAAGAUGUAAAGCAAUCCUAAAAAGUCAGAAGUUUUCCGCUUGAGUAGUACGACCGCAAGGUUUAAAUUCAAAAAACUUGGCUGUUCACUGUUUUAAUUAGAGGAGCGUGUCGUUUAAUUCGAUAGUCCGCGAGAGACCUUACCCAAACUUGAAUCCCUUAUUGACAGGUAUUGCAUGGCCGUCGUCAAUUUGUGUAUUAAACAUAAAACAGAUUUAACCCAGUGGUUUGGCUAUUGGAUGAAGUCAGGUCUUAUUGUCCUAAUGUUUGGGGAUUAGAUGCGCUACAUUUUUUUAUACAAUAGGAAACUUUGAGUGUGAAGCCUGAAAAUAAAAGUUCGGAAAGUGCCUGGAAGAUAACGGAAAGUUGUAUUUAAUAGUAAUUGAAAAGUAGAGCGUUUCAAUGAAAUGUUUUCAGUGUUAGUACAAAUUGCCCGUCGCCUUUGCUUAGAAAGAUUGGUUGAUUGCCCCUCAAGAGGGUUUCUAAUAUCUUCGAGGCAGAGUAAGUCGUAACA